Molecule: transfer RNA, 81 nt
Filed under: Klebsiella ornithinolytica
Lineage: Bacteria; Pseudomonadati; Pseudomonadota; Gammaproteobacteria; Enterobacterales; Enterobacteriaceae
Description: Raoultella ornithinolytica tRNA-Val
Rfam family: tRNA
About the family: Transfer RNA (tRNA) molecules are approximately 80 nucleotides in length.
Source: RNAcentral
GCGUUCAUAGCUCAGUUGGUUAGAGCACCNNCCACCUUGACAUGGUGGGGGUCGUUGGUUCGAGUCCAAUUGAACGCACCA